RNAcentral lists this ribosomal RNA (242 nucleotides) under uncultured Marinilabiliaceae bacterium. RNAcentral's name for it is "partial 16S ribosomal RNA". It matches the Rfam family "Bacterial small subunit ribosomal RNA", at positions 796 to 1041 of the family's 1533-position model. The record is from RNAcentral. Lineage: Bacteria; Pseudomonadati; Bacteroidota; Bacteroidia; Marinilabiliales; Marinilabiliaceae.
CACGCUGUAAACGAUGAUUACUGGUUGUUAGCGAUAUAUAGCUAGUGACUGAGCGAAAGCAUUAAGUAAUCCACCUGGGGAGUACGUCGGCAACGAUGAAACUCAAAGGAAUUGACGGGGGCCCGCACAAGCGGAGGAACAUGUGGUUUAAUUCGAUGAUACGCGAGGAACCUUACCUGGGUUUAAAUGGGGAGUGACAGGUGUCGAAAGAUGCUUUUCCUUCGGGACACUCUUCAAGGUGC